Molecule: small nuclear RNA, 150 nt
Filed under: Carlito syrichta (Philippine tarsier)
Lineage: Eukaryota; Metazoa; Chordata; Mammalia; Primates; Tarsiidae
Description: U12 minor spliceosomal RNA (ENSTSYG00000020026.2)
Rfam family: U12 minor spliceosomal RNA
About the family: Although the U12 sequence is very divergent from that of U2, the two are functionally analogous.
Source: RNAcentral
GAUCCAUUUAUGAGUGAGAAGGAAAAUAAUGAUUUGGGAUGAUGCCCAAAUCCUCACUGCUAAUGUGAGAUGAAUUUUUGAGCAGGUAAAAGGUUGCCCCUAAAGUGACCUGCCUACUUUGCGGGAUGCCAGGGAGUUGUGAUCUGCCUG